Rhodamnia argentea is the source of this 247-nucleotide long non-coding RNA. RefSeq lists it as uncharacterized. The record is from RefSeq and is a predicted model, not a curated record. Lineage: Eukaryota; Viridiplantae; Streptophyta; Magnoliopsida; Myrtales; Myrtaceae. The transcript is spliced from 3 exons.
GCUAAUUCCAAGGUGAUGAUCACAAGGACGUGUGUGUUCUUCCUUUGCCUAGUCAGUUUUCUAGUUGGAAUGUCCAUCACCAACAGAAUAUGGAUGAUGCCUCCAAGUAAAGGCAGAAAAAGCACAGCCUUGGCUGAGCCCAAGCCUCAAGUAAAGGUCUCUAUAGGCUGCAAUAAGAAUCCGGUCAUAAAUCAUCUAAGCAAUAGCAGCCGAGCGGACACAUUGAUGAUCAGCAAGCAAUCCGAAA